RNAcentral lists this ribosomal RNA (497 nucleotides) under uncultured bacterium. RNAcentral describes it as "partial 16S ribosomal RNA". It matches the Rfam family "Bacterial small subunit ribosomal RNA", at positions 28 to 507 of the family's 1533-position model. The record is from RNAcentral.
GAUGGACGCUGGCGGCGUGCCUAAUACAUGCAAGUCGAGCGAACGGACGAGAAGCUUGCUUCUCUGAUGUUAGCGGCGGACGGGUGAGUAACACGUGGAUAACCUACUUAUAAGACUGGGAUAACUUCGGGAAACCGGAGCUAAUACCGGAUAAUAUUUUGAACCGCAUGGUUCAAAAGUGAAAGACGGUCUUGCUGUCACUUAUAGAUGGAUCCGCGCUGCAUUAGCUAGUUGGUAAGGUAACGGCUUACCAAGGCAACGAUGCAUAGCCGACCUGAGAGGGUGAUCGGCCACACUGGAACUGAGACACGGUCCAGACUCCUACGGGAGGCAGCAGUAGGGAAUCUUCCGCAAUGGGCGAAAGCCUGACGGAGCAACGCCGCGUGAGUGAUGAAGGUCUUCGGAUCGUAAAACUCUGUUAUUAGGGAAGAACAUAUGUGUAAGUAACUGUGCACAUCUUGACGGUACCUAAUCAGAAAGCCACGGCUAACUACGUG